GUGUUACCUAAAAGUUAAUAAUCCAUCGAAGUAAACAAAAAGCCCAUUUACAAUCGUUGUUAAUGGUGGGAAAGCCAUCAGUGGUUCAGAUUACUGUCCCAGCCUGCCCUGUGGCCUCUUGCUGGCGGGUCUUUCCUGUUUCUUUCCAGCCUCGUUCUUAUCCAAUCAGCUGGGGUUGUGAAAAUACCAAUACCCGUCUCUGGCCAAGUCCUCACCUGCAGAUCCGGUCAGCUUGCUGGGUUCCUCAGCUGAGAAUUUGGAGCAAAGCUGACACCACUAUGACCAGGGAUAGCAGAGUAAAGAAGCCCAGUGGGUGACACUCAGUGAACCGUGCAGACAUAAGCUGUUAGUUAAUUAGUCCCUUCAAUCUCCCUCACCCUCUGUGCUGUCAGUUAACUUCCCUGACCACUGAGACCCAGUCUCCUGGGGGCCCUGUAGGUUGACUAAGGGUGCAUUUAUGCUAACCUGAUUGUUAUUUGCCGCCCCACCCCCCAGUAAGUCAUGUAAGAAUUCAGUUUUCUUCCAAAACUCAGAGAUGGGGUAUUUUGGUAUUUGGUAAUUAUAGUAUUUUCUUUUUUUCUGUUUCUUUUUCUUUUUUUUUUGAGACAGAGUUUCACUCUUGUUGCCCAGGCUGGAAUGCACUGGCACGGUCUUGGUUCACUGCAGCCUCUGCCUCCCGGGUUCAAGGGAUUCUCCUGUCUCAGCCUCCCGAGUAGUUGGGACUACAGGCGUGCGCCACCACGCCCGGCUAAUUUUUGUAUUUUUAGUAGAAAUGGGGUUUCAUCAUACUGGUCAGACUGGUCUCGAACUCCUGACCUCAGGUGAUCUGCCCACCUUGGCCUCCCAACGUGUUGGGAUUACAGGUGUGAGCCACUGCGUCUGGCCGACGCAUACUUUAAUAUUAUAAACAUCCCAAACAAUUUUUCUUGAUGUAAGGCAAAGUAUUCCAGCCUUCUCUCCGAGAACUGUGUAAUUUGUGACUAUUUCUACAAGUACCUUGUGCCGCUUGUGUUCCAGAAGCAAUACGUGCUCACUGUGGACAAACAUCAGGAAAAAAAUUCCAUCGUCCUGAGGGAAAGCCACGAUGGAUGUUUUAGUCCAUCUAUAUGUCCCACUAAAGUCACCACCUUUUUAUUUUUUCUGCGUGUACACAUUGCUUUUCAUCUUUAUACACUUGCCACUCUGCGUGUGGACAUAGACAAGCAGUGGCAGCGUGGUGUGGGCACCAUGGGGUGGGGGUUGAAAGACAUGCAGCAUCGUUGUGACCCCGCCCAGGCCUACGUCUCAUCCAGAUUCCCUGAUUAGCCCCUUGGGCACUAACAUCUGAGAAGCACGGCUCUGCAAAGGUGUCUUGUCCACUAAAUUUGUUGAAGUCAAUCCACUGAUUUCAGUCAAUCCAC
This 1400-nucleotide long non-coding RNA is filed under the name Macaca fascicularis (crab-eating macaque). RNAcentral describes it as "lncRNA (ENSMFAG00000052048.1)". Lineage: Eukaryota; Metazoa; Chordata; Mammalia; Primates; Cercopithecidae. The record is from RNAcentral.